Molecule: ribosomal RNA, 377 nt
Filed under: uncultured bacterium
Lineage: Bacteria
Description: bacterial SSU rRNA
Rfam family: Bacterial small subunit ribosomal RNA
Source: RNAcentral
AUACGUAGGGGGCGAGCGUUGUCCGGAAUUAUUGGGUGUAAAGGGCGCGUAGGCGGUUAUUUAAGUCAGGCGAUAAAGGCGACGGCUCAACCGUUGUAAUUCGUCUGAAACUGGAUGGCUUGAGUGCAGGAGAGGGGAGUGGAAUUCCCAGUGUAGCGGUGAAAUGCGUAGAUAUUGGGAAGAACACCAGUGGCGAAGGCGGCUCUCUGGCCUGCAACUGACGCUGAGGCGCGAAAGCUGGGGGAGCGAACAGGAUUAGAUACCCUGGUAGUCCCAGCCGUAAACUAUGAGUGCUAGGUGUAGGAGGUAUCGACCCCUUCUGUGCCGUAGUUAACGCUUUAAGCACUCCACCUGGGGAGUACGGCCGCAAGGUUGAA